This 694-nucleotide ribosomal RNA is filed under the name uncultured bacterium. Its description in RNAcentral is "bacterial SSU rRNA". It matches the Rfam family "Bacterial small subunit ribosomal RNA", at positions 32 to 715 of the family's 1533-position model. The record is from RNAcentral.
AACGCUAGCUACAGGCUUAACACAUGCAAGUCGAGGGGCAGCAUGAACUUAGCUUGCUAAGUUUGAUGGCGACCGGCGCACGGGUGAGUAACGCGUAUCCAACCUUCCGCUUACUCGGGAAUAGCCUUUCGAAAGAAAGAUUAAUACCCGAUGGUAUCUUAAGCGCACAUGCAAAUAAGAUUAAAGAUUUAUCGGUAAGCGAUGGGGAUGCGUUCCAUUAGAUAGUAGGCGGGGUAACGGCCCACCUAGUCGACGAUGGAUAGGGGUUCUGAGAGGAAGGUCCCCCACAUUGGAACUGAGACACGGUCCAAACUCCUACGGGAGGCAGCAGUGAGGAAUAUUGGUCAAUGGGCGCGAGCCUGAACCAGCCAAGUAGCGUGAAGGAUGAAGGUCCUACGGAUUGUAAACUUCUUUUAUAAGGGAAUAAAGUCACCUACGUGUAGGUGUUUGUAUGUACCUUAUGAAUAAGCAUCGGCUAACUCCGUGCCAGCAGCCGCGGUAAUACGGAGGAUGCGAGCGUUAUCCGGAUUUAUUGGGUUUAAAGGGAGCGUAGACGGGUCGUUAAGUCAGCUGUGAAAGUUUACGGCUCAACCGUGAAAUUGCAGUUGAUACUGUAUGUCUUGAGUGUACAAGAGGUGGGCGGAAUUCGUGGUGUAGCGGUGAAAUGCUUAGAUAUCACGAAGAACUCCGAUUG